Long non-coding RNA from Lontra canadensis (Northern American river otter), 126 nucleotides. RefSeq lists it as uncharacterized. The transcript has 3 exons. The record is from RefSeq and is a predicted model, not a curated record. Lineage: Eukaryota; Metazoa; Chordata; Mammalia; Carnivora; Mustelidae.
GAAUGUACUCAUAAUUGAUCUGUUGUUACCAACUGAUCACUUCAUCAAACUAGCUUGACAUUUUUGUACAUGAGGCUAAGAAAACUGAUAAAAAAGAAAACAGCGCAUUAAAAUCUAUCCAGAGAA